RNAcentral lists this non-coding RNA (115 nucleotides) under marine eukaryotic metagenome. Its description in RNAcentral is "ALIL pseudoknot". It matches the Rfam family "ALIL pseudoknot". The record is from RNAcentral.
GCAUAUUUUGCCCAGGCCGAGCUCGACCGCCCAUUCAACAGAUGACCAUGUUUACAGAAGAUCACCAUGCGGUUUUUGGUGUUGGGCCGAUCUGCAGUGUACUGCCGAUUGCACC